RNAcentral lists this ribosomal RNA (468 nucleotides) under uncultured bacterium. Its description in RNAcentral is "partial 16S ribosomal RNA". It matches the Rfam family "Bacterial small subunit ribosomal RNA", at positions 28 to 507 of the family's 1533-position model. The record is from RNAcentral.
GACGAACGCUGGCGGCGUGCUUAACACAUGCAAGUCGAACGGAAAGGCCCUGCUUUUGUGGGGUGCUCGAGUGACGAACGGGUGAGUAACACGUGAGUAACCUGCCCUUGACUUUGGGAUAACUUCAGGAAACUGGGGCUAAUACCGGAUAGGAGCUCCUGCUGCAUGGUGGGGGUUGGAAAGUUUCGGCGGUUGGGGAUGGACUCGCGGCUUAUCAGCUUGUUGGUGGGGUAGUGGCUUACCAAGGCUUUGACGGGUAGCCGGCCUGAGAGGGUGACCGGCCGCAUUGGGACUGAGAUACGGCCCAGACUCCUACGGGAGGCAGCAGUGGGGAAUAUUGCACAAUGGGCGGAAGCCUGAUGCAGCAACGCCGCGUGCGGGAUGACGGCCUUCGGGUUGUAAACCGCUUUCGCCUGUGACGAAGCGUGAGUGACGGUAAUGGGUAAAGAAGCACCGGCUAACUACGUG